ACAUUACUCUCGAGUGUCCACUCUCGUCGUCUUGUCACUCCUCUGUUUGCAUGCUAUUCGCUAGCAAUAAUCUCUCGGUCUCCUGCCCAAUCACACUUUAUUCAUGUUAUGUGCGCGACGCGUUCUCGCAUGUGCCUCCUAGUA
This is a non-coding RNA of Caenorhabditis elegans, 144 nucleotides long. The record is from Ensembl. Lineage: Eukaryota; Metazoa; Nematoda; Chromadorea; Rhabditida; Rhabditidae.